RNAcentral lists this ribosomal RNA (901 nucleotides) under Pseudoselenomonas ruminantium. Its description in RNAcentral is "bacterial SSU rRNA". The stretch from base 12 to 556 matches the Rfam family "Bacterial small subunit ribosomal RNA", at positions 30 to 543 of the family's 1533-position model. The record is from RNAcentral. Lineage: Bacteria; Bacillati; Bacillota; Negativicutes; Selenomonadales; Selenomonadaceae.
CUGGCUCAGGACGAACGCUGGCGGCGUGCUUAACACAUGCAAGUCGAACGAGCAGAUUUUCAGCACUGAAUGCUUGAGGCAUUAACUUCGAGCGUCGUGACGACGAAGUCGUCACCACACCUUUUAUUAGUGCUUAACUUAACUGGACGGUUGAGUCGGAAUCGAGCAUUGAGUGCUGGAAAGAUGCGAGUGGCAAACGGGUGAGUAACGCGUAGACAACCUGCCGCAAAGAUGGGGACAACAGUCCGAAAGGACUGCUAAUACCGAAUGUUGUCAGUUUCUCGCAUGAGAGACUGAUUAAAGAUGGCCUCUACUUGUAAGCUAUCGCUUUGCGAUGGGUCUGCGUCUGAUUAGCUAGUUGGUGGGGUAACGGCCUACCAAGGCGACGAUCAGUAGCCGGUCUGAGAGGAUGAACGGCCACAUUGGAACUGAGACACGGUCCAGACUCCUACGGGAGGCAGCAGUGGGGAAUCUUCCGCAAUGGGCGAAAGCCUGACGGAGCAACGCCGCGUGAGUGCUUAACUUAACUGGACGGUUGAGUCGGAAUCGAGCAUUGAGUGCUGGAAAGAUGCGAGUGGCAAACGGGUGAGUAACGCGUAGACAACCUGCCGCAAAGAUGGGGACAACAGUCCGAAAGGACUGCUAAUACCGAAUGUUGUCAGUUUCUCGCAUGAGAGACUGAUUAAAGAUGGCCUCUACUUGUAAGCUAUCGCUUUGCGAUGGGUCUGCGUCUGAUUAGCUAGUUGGUGGGGUAACGGCCUACCAAGGCGACGAUCAGUAGCCGGUCUGAGAGGAUGAACGGCCACAUUGGAACUGAGACACGGUCCAGACUCCUACGGGAGGCAGCAGUGGGGAAUCUUCCGCAAUGGGCGAAAGCCUGACGGAGCAACGCCGCGUGAGU